RNAcentral lists this unclassified non-coding RNA (1929 nucleotides) under Leishmania donovani. Its description in RNAcentral is "gene:LdHU3.27.2170(CDS-product:Domain_of_unknown_ function_(DUF543)_putative)". Lineage: Eukaryota; Euglenozoa; Kinetoplastea; Trypanosomatida; Trypanosomatidae. The record is from RNAcentral.
UUCUUAAAAGGAAAGGGAGAAGAAAAACAUUUUUAACGCCGACGCGAGAGCGAGCGUGAGAGCGAACGUUGCAUGCACAGGAGCGGCCACACACACGCACAAACACACACACACACACACACACACACACAAAAGCUUGAGUACAGCCUCACCCCGGCUCGCUUCUCUCUCAGGUCUUCUGCUUUUUAUGGACCUCUAUUCCUUUUCCUACACGCUUAAACCGACGUCGUUGCCAGCCGUCGUCGUCGUCACAGAAGUUCUAAGAAGCUGCCUUCGUGCUUAGCAGCCGCAGCUCUCGCGCUUGUCAGUUUCACGACUCCGCAUUCUUCUUUCUUCCGCCCUGCGUCCUUUCUGCGGUGUUUUUUGACGAAGCACCUGCCAGUGUGCCCUGGCGCUCUACUGUGACGGCACAAUUACGCAGCCCCCCCCCCCAAAAAAAAAAAAACAUUCACUAAACCCCCUUUCGACUCCCCAUCCUCGCAUUGCUCUGUCAUCGGGAAUAAAGGGGGAAAGGAUAUGCGCCACACGGUCGAAAUGAUGUCCGCCACACCGAAGCAACCCUCCACCGCCACCACAUCCAUCUCGUCGGGUGAGAAGUGGGACCACUCGCUGGAGACGUUGAUCCGCAAGUCCACGAUUGGGUUCGCCUCUGGUAUUCUACCGGGGCUUUUGCUGGCCCGCUCGCCGGCGGCACGCAGUGCCAUCAUCGCCCUGUGCACCGGCGUGGGUAGCGGUAUCGCUUAUGGUGAGGCGCGCUACCUUUUCGAUCACGAUAUCAUGUUCGACAAGCGUCACUUGAUUCAGGUGCAGGUGGUCGGCGGCAGUAGCAGUCAGCAAAACGGCGACCAGAAGUCUAUUGAGUAGAAAAGCUCGCAGGUGACGGAGCCGCCGAGCGUAGAGGGGAGAGGGUGGAGCGGGCGAAAAUGUGCAGUUAGCGUCCCACAGAAAACGCGGGCACUGCUGCGGCUCGUGCUUGUAGGGCCCUUUCAUGUCGGGUGUCGUUCUUAGACGUGCUGCUGUGCUUCCUCACCCCGCAUCACGCGUACAUCGAUGCGUCGCUGUGCUGUCACUUCUUUCUCUUGCUAUUUACGCAUGUGUGCGCACGUGGUGCCGGAGAAGCCUGUAUGCGUGUCUCUGUCGUUGUUUGUUGUGUCCUCGAUUUGUGAGCGCAGCGCGUGCGCUGGGGGUUUCCUUGUUUUUUUUUCUUCGUUUCCCGUUGCCCUUGUCGGUUUCUGUAUUACAGUUCUCGUAGCCAAAGUGGAGAAGGCCGGGAGGGGAAGGAAGAGGGGGCGGUGGGGGUUGGGGCAUGCAAUGCAUCCAACUUGCUUGCCCCCACUUUCAGUGGUACAGUGAGUCAGCCCAUCCUUUGGCAGCCUUUCCUGUUGGCAUCCUUGGCUAGUGUGCUGCCACCGAUGGCCUCCACGCACGUACGCUAACGGAUGGUGUGCGUACGUGCGUGUGCGCAAGCGAUGGGCGGCCCAUGCUGGCCAACACAACGAGAACCCCACCCUUCCCUGUGUGCCUUCCCACUCAGACGCAAACAAGCAAAGCAUACACAACAACCGCACGAAGCGAUCAUCGCCGCAUCGGUCGUCUCUGUGAAUCGAAUGCAUCUCUGCGAGGAUCCUCUCCUGCGGCGAGAACUUUGCCCUCACCUCUAUCCCUCAAAUGUGACGUGAAUGCGGACGGGCCGUGCGAGUGCGCGCGCAACAGCUCUGUUGCCUCGCGUCACGACAAGGGAAGUGUGUGCUGUGCGUGGCGGGGAGGGGGAGGGGGAGUUUGGAGCCGCUGCUCCGCUCCUUGCCAAGUGAGGCGGACUCAUGCCACCGGUGCCUUCACGAAGCAGCGCGCCGACUUCCAUCACCCACGGCACGUUUUCUUCUAUCUCGGGCGACGGUGCGUGUACGCUUUUCGUUUUCUCUUCGGUAG